Molecule: ribosomal RNA, 1369 nt
Filed under: uncultured bacterium
Lineage: Bacteria
Description: bacterial SSU rRNA
Rfam family: Bacterial small subunit ribosomal RNA
Source: RNAcentral
GACGAACGCUGGCGGCGUGCCUAAUACAUGCAAGUAGAACGCUGAAGAGAGGAGCUUGCUCUUCUUGGAUGAGUUGCGAACGGGUGAGUAACGCGUAGGUAACCUGCCUUGUAGCGGGGGAUAACUAUUGGAAACGAUAGCUAAUACCGCAUAACAAUGGAUGACACAUGUCAUUUAUUUGAAAGGGGCAAAUGCUCCACUACAAGAUGGACCUGCGUUGUAUUAGCUAGUAGGUGAGGUAACGGCUCACCUAGGCGACGAUACAUAGCCGACCUGAGAGGGUGAUCGGCCACACUGGGACUGAGACACGGCCCAGACUCCUACGGGAGGCAGCAGUAGGGAAUCUUCGGCAAUGGGGGCAACCCUGACCGAGCAACGCCGCGUGAGUGAAGAAGGUUUUCGGAUCGUAAAGCUCUGUUGUAAGUCAAGAACGAGUGUGAGAGUGGAAAGUUCACACUGUGACGGUAGCUUACCAGAAAGGGACGGCUAACUACGUGCCAGCAGCCGCGGUAAUACGUAGGCCCCGAGCGUUGUCCGGAUUUAUUGGGCGUAAAGCGAGCGCAGGCGGUUUGAUAAGUCUGAAGUUAAAGGCUGUGGCUCAACCAUAGUUCGCUUUGGAAACUGUCAAACUUGAGUGCAGAAGGGGAGAGUGGAAUUCCAUGUGUAGCGGUGAAAUGCGUAGAUAUAUGGAGGAACACCGGUGGCGAAAGCGGCUCUCUGGUCUGUAACUGACGCUGAGGCUCGAAAGCGUGGGGAGCGAACAGGAUUAGAUACCCUGGUAGUCCACGCCGUAAACGAUGAGUGCUAGGUGUUGGAUCCUUUCCGGGAUUCAGUGCCGCAGCUAACGCAUUAAGCACUCCGCCUGGGGAGUACGACCGCAAGGUUGAAACUCAAAGGAAUUGACGGGGGCCCGCACAAGCGGUGGAGCAUGUGGUUUAAUUCGAAGCAACGCGAAGAACCUUACCAGGUCUUGACAUCCCGAUGCUAUUUCUAGAGAUAGAAAGUUACUUCGGUACAUCGGUGACAGGUGGUGCAUGGUUGUCGUCAGCUCGUGUCGUGAGAUGUUGGGUUAAGUCCCGCAACGAGCGCAACCCCUAUUGUUAGUUGCCAUCAUUCAGUUGGGCACUCUAGCGAGACUGCCGGUAAUAAACCGGAGGAAGGUGGGGAUGACGUCAAAUCAUCAUGCCCCUUAUGACCUGGGCUAUACACGUGCUACAAUGGUUGGUACAACGAGUUGCGAGUCGGUGACGGCAAGCUAAUCUCUUAAAGCCAAUCUCAGUUCGGAUUGUAGGCUGCAACUCGCCUACAUGAAGUCGGAAUCGCUAGUAAUCGCGGAUCAGCACGCCGCGGUGAAUACGUUCCCGGGCCU